UACGUAGGCAGCAAGCGUUGUUCGGAGUUACUGGGCGUAAAGAGUACGUAGGCGGUGCCGCAAGUCCGGUGUGAAAUCUCCUGGCUCAACUGGGAGGGUGCGCUGGAAACUGCGAUGCUAGAGUGCGGGAGAGGAAAGCGGAAUUCCUGGUGUAGCGGUGAAAUGCGUAGAGAUCAGGAGGAACACCUGUGGUGUAGACGGCUUUCUGGACCGUGACUGACGCUGAGGUACGAAAGCGUGGGGAGCAAACAGG
RNAcentral lists this ribosomal RNA (253 nucleotides) under uncultured bacterium. Its description in RNAcentral is "partial 16S ribosomal RNA". It matches the Rfam family "Bacterial small subunit ribosomal RNA", at positions 524 to 776 of the family's 1533-position model. The record is from RNAcentral.